RNAcentral lists this ribosomal RNA (465 nucleotides) under uncultured bacterium. RNAcentral describes it as "partial 16S ribosomal RNA". It matches the Rfam family "Bacterial small subunit ribosomal RNA", at positions 28 to 507 of the family's 1533-position model. The record is from RNAcentral.
GACGAACGCUGGCGGCGUGCUUAACACAUGCAAGUCGAACGGAAAGGCCCUGCUUGCAGGGUACUCGAGUGGCGAACGGGUGAGUAACACGUGGGUGAUCUGCCCUGCACCUCGGGAUAAGCCUGGGAAACUGGGUCUAAUACCGGAUAGGAGCCAUUUUUAGUUUGAUGGUUGGAAAGUUUUUUCGGUGUAGGAUGAGCUCGCGGCCUAUCAGCUUGUUGGUGGGGUAAUGGCCUACCAAGGCGGCGACGGGUAGCCGGCCUGAGAGGGUGGACGGCCACAUUGGGACUGAGAUACGGCCCAGACUCCUACGGGAGGCAGCAGUGGGGAAUAUUGCACAAUGGGCGCAAGCCUGAUGCAGCGACGCCGCGUGGGGGAUGACGGCCUUCGGGUUGUAAACUCCUUUCGCUAGGGACGAAGCUUUUUGUGACGGUACCUAGAUAAGAAGCACCGGCUAACUACGUG